CUACAUAUCAUGAGCACAAAAACUCUUCUGCUUCCCAUGUAUGUAGCUGUAGCUUCUUCAGUAUACUUUGCUCUUGUUUCAGUAGUGUGCAUCUCUCUAGUUAUUGCUAGCUAGUACUCCAAAGAGUGAGAUGAAAUUAGUGGAUGAAUUAUAAGUGAGAUGAUGAUGAUGGUGCUAGUGUGAAUGAGUGAAGCUGCCAGCAUGAUCUAGCUCUGAUUAAUCGGCACUGUUGGCGUACAGUCGAUUGACUAAUCGUCAGAUCUGUGUGUGUAAAUCACUGUUAGAUCAUGCAUGACAGCCUCAUUUCUUCACACUGUUGGGCAUGUGUUAAACUUGAUUAGCUGUGCACAGUACUGCAAGAGGGUACAGACAGGAUAAGGUGAUGCAUCUAUGAUUUAUCUCUGCAUGUUUGAUGUUUUGAUUACUUUGUACAAGCUUGAUUAGUUGUACAAUACUGCAGAAAGAGUACAAGGUACAGGGUAAGUUGUUGCAAACUUUGCAUCUACCUCUACGAGCUGCUGUUAUUUUUUUUCUAUCUAGUAUAAGUACGUAGCUAGUGAAGUAGUAUCAAUCAAUGUAUAUGGUUAUAAUAGUUAAUUAGUUUAUGCUGGAUUUCUCA
This 619-nucleotide precursor RNA is filed under the name Oryza sativa Indica Group (long-grained rice). RNAcentral's name for it is "putative precursor microRNA R167a". The stretch from base 176 to 315 matches the Rfam family "MIR167 microRNA precursor family". RNAcentral also lists the same sequence under 1 other name. Lineage: Eukaryota; Viridiplantae; Streptophyta; Magnoliopsida; Poales; Poaceae. The record is from RNAcentral.